GCAGUCGCCACGGGAAUACGAAGGGGGCUAGCGUUGUUCGGAAUUACUGGGCGUAAAGGGCGCGUAGGCGGCCAUUCAAGUUAGAUGUGAAAGCCCUGGGCUCAACCUAGGAAUUGCAUUUGAUACUGUUUGGCUUGAGUUCGGGAGAGGUGAGUGGAAUUCCCAGUGUAGAGGUGAAAUUCGUAGAUAUUGGGAAGAACACCGGUGGCGAAGGCGGCGACCUGGUCCUUGACUGACGCUGAGGCGCGAAAGCGUGGGGAGCAAACAGGAUUAGAUACCCCCGUAGUCCCUGUCUCUUAUAA
Molecule: ribosomal RNA, 302 nt
Filed under: uncultured bacterium
Lineage: Bacteria
Description: partial 16S ribosomal RNA
Rfam family: Bacterial small subunit ribosomal RNA
Source: RNAcentral